AACGAACGCUGGCGGCAGGCCUAACACAUGCAAGUCGAACGCUGUAGCAAUACAGAGUGGCAGACGGGUGAGUAACGCGUGGGAACAUACCCUUCGGUUCGGAAUAACUCAGGGAAACUUGAGCUAAUACCGGAUACGUGCGAGAGCAGAAAGAUUCAUCGCCGAAGGAUUGGCCCGCGUUCGAUUAGCUUGUUGGUGAGGUAAUGGCUCACCAAGGCGACGAUCGAUAGCUGGUCUGAGAGGAUGAUCAGCCACAUUGGGACUGAGACACGGCCCAAACUCCUACGGGAGGCAGCAGUGGGGAAUAUUGGACAAUGGGCGAAAGCCUGAUCCAGCCAUGCCGCGUGAGUGAUGAAGGCCCUAGGGUUGUAAAGCUCUUUCGUCAGGGACGAUAAUGACGGUACCUGAAGAAGAGCCCCGGCUAACUUCGUGCCAGCCGCCGCGGUAAC
This 449-nucleotide ribosomal RNA is filed under the name uncultured bacterium. RNAcentral's name for it is "bacterial SSU rRNA". It matches the Rfam family "Bacterial small subunit ribosomal RNA", at positions 29 to 524 of the family's 1533-position model. The record is from RNAcentral.